This 1289-nucleotide long non-coding RNA is filed under the name Homo sapiens (human). Its description in RNAcentral is "HSALNT0060137". Lineage: Eukaryota; Metazoa; Chordata; Mammalia; Primates; Hominidae. The record is from RNAcentral.
CCGUGGGUGGCACCCCCUUGGUGACCUUGAGGGCUGAUGUGUGUUCAGACAAAUAUGGGACAGAGGCGUGGGGACUCCAGACCAUGAGUGAGCCACAGGAGGCAUCGAAGUGGGAAUCCCAGCUUCUUGCAGAACUAUUGCUACAGGGCCAUCAGCAUGUGACACUAGGAGACUGUGCCAUGUCAUCCUUAUGUGGGUCUGGGUCACAGCCGCCCAUCUGCUGUGCUCCCUGGCUGCCUCUUUUGUGAAAAAGAAGGUGAGGAGGACCAGCGAGGAGACACGCCCACUCCAGGGGAACACCUCCUCCCACAGAGCCUUGGGAAGCUGAGAGUAGAUGUGUGCCGAUCACCACCACCUGAGGGUUCCAGGACACAGACAUCGUCAUCCCUGUUCUACAGAGGAGGAAAUGGAGCCUCCUAUGCAAAUUACAUUCUUCAUCACACCAUGGCUCUUGAAGGGCGGAGGUCUCACUGGGCUCCCUGUGUCUCAUGUCCUGCACAAGGCCUGGCUCUGAGGAGGGGCUGCACAACCUUCCUGCACAAGAAUAAAGGCGGGACCGAAGCAGUGACUGUGUGAGAGUCCAUGGAAUGCCCAGGACCAGCACUCAGGGCCUUUGUCUUCUUGUCCAAGCACCAGGGAGCAGAUAGGAGCAGCUUCGGCAAGACCCGGCUCAGUUGAAUGAAGUCGAGUGUCUUAGGUCAUGAACAGUACAGAAAGAGCUGUCCCUCUUCAGAUUCGAGCGCUGCGGGGAGGGAGGGUGUGGUGAGGGUCAUCACCUCCUGCUCCACUCCCCUGGCCAGAGCGGACUGGGCAGGGCAGCCCUGCGGAGGGGCCACUGGACAGCAGAGGUCGAGAGCAGCCUCCCUGGGGUUUGUCUGUUCCACUCUCCGGUUUUGUCAAAGAUCAUUUGAAAACUGGUCACAACAAUAUUUCCUGCUUCUUCUCAGCAGCAGUCAAGCACCCUAUCCAUGAUGUUAUAUAUAAUAAAUGGCUUUUGAUUUACUGGCAGGAAAAACAAUAUCACUACCGAUGAAAUCUUAUGCUGUGUUCUUACCAGUUAACAAGGGCAGGGUUGCUUGAUGAAGAAUCAAGUGGUUACAUGUGUUCAUUCACCAAAAGUUUAUUGAAAAACUGCUUGGGUUAUGAUCGGCCCAGGGCUAAGCACACUGAGGUGGCUGGGACACCGUCUUUGAUCUCUGGGAGCUCACAGUCUAGUUCCACUCUUUACUCUGGCCACUGGGUAGUUUAUGGCUGCAAUCUGUAACCCUUAUAAUUGAAAUAUUUGCCCC